GAAUAUUGGACAAUGGGGGCAACCCUGAUCCAGCCAUGCCGCGUGUGUGAAGAAGGCUUUCGGGUUGUAAAGCACUUUCAGUGAGGAGGAAAACCGUACGAUUAAUACUCGUAUGGCUUGACGUUACUCACAGAAGAAGCACCGGCUAACUCUGCGCCAGCAGCCGCGGUAAUACAGAGGGUGCGAGCGUUAAUCGGAAGUACUGGGCGUAAAGCGCACGUAGGCGGCUCUGCAAGUCGAGUGUGAAAUCCCCGGGCUCAACCUGGGAACUGCAUUCGAUACUGCAUUGCUAGAGUAUGGGAGAGGGAAGUGGAAUUUCCGGUGUAGCGGUGAAAUGCGUAGAUAUCGGAAGGAACACCAGUGGCGAAAGCGACUUCCUGGACCAAUACUGACGCUCAGGUGCGAAAGCGUGGGGAGCAAACAGG
RNAcentral lists this ribosomal RNA (425 nucleotides) under uncultured bacterium. RNAcentral describes it as "bacterial SSU rRNA". It matches the Rfam family "Bacterial small subunit ribosomal RNA", at positions 359 to 776 of the family's 1533-position model. The record is from RNAcentral.